AUGCACGCUGGCGGCGUGCCUAAUACAUGCAAGUCGCGCGAACAGACGAGGAGCUUGCUCCUCUGACGUUAGCGGCGGACGGGUGAGUAACACGUGGAUAACCUACCUAUAAGACUGGGAUAACUUCGGGAAACCGGAGCUAAUACCGGAUAAUAUAUUGAACCGCAUGGUUCAAUAGUGAAAGACGGUUUUGCUGUCACUUAUAGAUGGAUCCGCGCCGCAUUAGCUAGUUGGUAAGGUAACGGCUUACCAAGGCGACGAUGCGUAGCCGACCUGAGAGGGUGAUCGGCCACACUGGAACUGAGACACGGUCCAGACUCCUACGGGAGGCAGCAGUAGGGAAUCUUCCGCAAUGGGCGAAAGCCUGACGGAGCAACGCCGCGUGAGUGAUGAAGGUCUUCGGAUCGUAAAACUCUAUUAUUAGGGAAGAACAAAUGUGUAAGUAACUAUGCACGUCUUGACGGUACCUAAUCAGAAAGCCACGGCUAACUACGUG
RNAcentral lists this ribosomal RNA (496 nucleotides) under uncultured bacterium. RNAcentral describes it as "partial 16S ribosomal RNA". It matches the Rfam family "Bacterial small subunit ribosomal RNA", at positions 29 to 507 of the family's 1533-position model. The record is from RNAcentral.